GAUCGAGUGGGCGACUAAUACAAUACCUUCGGGGAAUACGUCCAGCCUGCUGUAGGCUUUCGAACCACUCGAUCACCCUAAU
This is a small RNA of Pasteurellaceae bacterium 15-036681, 82 nucleotides long. It matches the Rfam family "sRNA-Xcc1". NCBI's taxonomy places the organism in Bacteria, Pseudomonadati, Pseudomonadota, Gammaproteobacteria, Pasteurellales, Pasteurellaceae. The record is from Rfam.